CAAACGUUCAUUCAGUCCAUCUGCCCGUCCUGGUCAGAUCAUCUCAGCUCAGAAUGGAGAAUCCCCAUACUAUGAAGAGGGGCCCUUCUUACCAGACAUCAGCGCGCUUGAUAUGUUGGUGUGUUUUCUUGUCGUUCGUUGUUUGUCUGUCUUUUGCAUUCAGUGUCUAGUCUUUCAAGCGUGUGUUGUCGCUUGAUAAAGAAUUUAACUCAAGAACUGAGACGAACAAUUCAGGAGAGGAACGAUUCGCCACUUCAGAUAAUAACGUGGCUGAUGGAAAGGAGGUGAAAAAACUUGGUAGCAGAAAACAUCGUUCUCGACUCCCAGCGCAACGACAAUCCUUGGUUCCUGAAAACAUCCUACUCUAUGGCGAUGGACGCAGAUAUGAACUGAAAGAAACGGAUGCCAUCACACAAUGGACCAUGGGAAACAACAAUGGAAACAACAUUGUUUAUCGUCCCAGUGUGGGUCGUGUCGAGGUGAUGAGAGAUGGAUUGUACUUCAUUUACAGCCAAAUGUGCUUUUCUGGAAACAGAAACCCGGGAACAGCUGGCCAUCGUAAUUUUAUCAACCAAGAACAAAAGAUAAGAUCCGUGAUUGGCCGACAAGACACAAGUAUCGCCUGUCGCUAUCAUGGCGGUGCUUUUUAUCUGCGUGCGCAUGACACAAUUGCCGUGAAGCCAACAGCCACUGGUCAAUACUACAUGUCGGGGACGGGCUCAUUUCUUGGAGUCUUCCUUAUCUAGAGCAACUCAAAAAGCAUUUUGGGUUUCUUUUUUUUCCUUACUACGAGUUAAUGUUUGCCUAGAUUUUGUAGUUUUGUAGUAAUAAUAGUUGAGUAAUCAUCAAUUACUAACGCGCGUUAAAACCUUAAGCACGACAAGAAAGUAAGAUGUCAUAGAUGUAACACAGCAUGAGAAAGAGCAGAAAAUGAGUCUGUACUACUAUUCUUUCUUGAGGUCAUUUCUUUUCUAAAAGCUGUUAGACACCAUGAUUUGAUAAGCUACUUCUAAAGCAAUAGCACUAUACGAAAAUUAAAAACAUUUGAAGAAAAUA
Molecule: unclassified non-coding RNA, 1056 nt
Filed under: Stylophora pistillata
Lineage: Eukaryota; Metazoa; Cnidaria; Anthozoa; Scleractinia; Pocilloporidae
Description: uncharacterized LOC111331828, transcript variant X2
Source: RNAcentral